GUUGAACGCUGGCGGCAUGCCUUACACAUGCAAGUCGAACGGUAACGGGCCUUCGGGUGCCGACGAGUGGCGCACGGGUGAGUAAUACAUCGGAACGUGCCCGAACGUGGGGGAUAACGAGGCGAAAGCUUUGCCAAUACCGCAUACGACCUACGGAUGAAAGCAGGGAACCGCAAGGCCUCGCGCGGACGGAGCGGCCGAUGGCCGAUAAGGCAGUUGGUGGGUUAAAAGCUUACCAAGCCGACGAUCUGUAGCUGGUCUGAGAGGAUGAUCAGCCACACUGGGACUGAGACACGGCCCAGACUCCUACGGGAGGCAGCAGUGGGGAAUUUUGGACAAUGGGCGCAAGCCUGAUCCAGCCAUGCCGCGUGCAGGAUGAAGGCCUUCGGGUUGUAAACUGCUUUUGUACGGAACGAAAAGCCUUCUUUUAAUACAGGAGGGUCAUGACGGUACCGUAAGAAUAAGCACCGGCUAACUACGUG
This 482-nucleotide ribosomal RNA is filed under the name uncultured bacterium. RNAcentral describes it as "partial 16S ribosomal RNA". It matches the Rfam family "Bacterial small subunit ribosomal RNA", at positions 28 to 507 of the family's 1533-position model. The record is from RNAcentral.